AUGAAGCUGGAAUUGCUGUAAUCGCGGAUCAGCAUGCCGCGGUGAAUACGUUCUCGGGCCUUGUACACACCGCCCGUCACACCAUGGGAGUCGGUAACACCCGAAGUCUGUAGCCUGACGCAAGAGGGCGCAGCCGAAGGUGGGAUUGAUGACUGGGGUGAAGUCGUAACAAGGUAAC
Molecule: ribosomal RNA, 178 nt
Filed under: uncultured bacterium
Lineage: Bacteria
Description: partial 16S ribosomal RNA
Rfam family: Bacterial small subunit ribosomal RNA
Source: RNAcentral